AAGAGAUGGCGACCGGCGCACGGGUGAGUAACACGUAUCCAACCUGCCGAUAACUCCGGAAUAGCCUUUCGAAAGAAGGAUUAAUACCGGAUGGCAUACGAAUAUCGCAUGAUAUUUUUAUUAAAGAAUUUCGGUUAUCGAUGGGGAUGCGUUCCAUUAGUUUGUUGGCGGGGUAACGGCCCACCAAGACUACGAUGGAUAGGGGUUCUGAGAGGAAGGUCCCCCACAUUGGAACUGAGACACGGUCCAA
Molecule: ribosomal RNA, 250 nt
Filed under: uncultured bacterium
Lineage: Bacteria
Description: partial 16S ribosomal RNA
Rfam family: Bacterial small subunit ribosomal RNA
Source: RNAcentral